AAGCUGUUAGCUAACCAACAGCUCGUCACCAGUUUAUUUCCAAUUUUAAACGAAUUACUUCAAGUGUUCGUCAACAUGUUUAGCUAACAUUUUCCGUUGUUCAUCUAUGGCUAACAAUUUUAAAUUUUUAUGCAUAUUUGUAGCUCACAAUUUCAAUUCUUUAGCAAUAGUUUUAGGCAGCUAUGUAGCUCUUUAUCCACCUAAACUUGUCUUAACUGUUAAUCCAUACUGUUAGCUAAUAAUUUCUGCUGUUUAUUUACUUAGCUAACGAUUCCCAAUUAUUUAUCCAUACUCUUAGCUAGCUAAUUUAGCUGUUAAGCCAUACUGUUAGCAAACAAUUUCUAUAGUUUUUAUUGAAGCAUCCAAAUACUUUAAAGUCUCAGUUUAAGGAAAUAAUCCAGGAGUCACUGUGGAUCAUUUUCUUCACAUGAACCCCUGAAUAAAUCUAGAAAUCAGUCCAAAACCUAAGAGAAUUAGGACUCAGUAAAUGAUAUUUAUCUCCAAUAUAUAUUUAUUUCUCUUUACUUGUAUCUAAAGCUGUUCAGAUGAUGACCCUGGAUGAUCUGAUUGAUUAAAAAAACCCACACAAAUCUCCAAAAGUUUAAAGAAAUCACCACUAAAACCUCAACAAGAUCAACUGACACGGUGUUUUUAAGCAAACCUCAUAUUCAAAUGACUAAUUUCUCUUCAUCUAGUAAUGCAGUUGGGACCUUUAGGUGCUCUAACUGGGUGGUUUUGGGUGACUAGCUCCUCCCACCGACCAGCAGCAGGGGAACUGGUUCAGCUGCAGGUUUACCAGCAGCUCUGGAGGUCGGAAACCUGAAAUUAACCAGAGAGGAGCUGCAGCACAGUGCACGAGACGUGGAAGUAAUAAAAUGGGACUAAACAGUGAACUCUGGUGUCUGUGAGAUGGGAUGUAACGAGUCCAGAUGCUGGUCUUUGUCUCAUUCGGACAAAUCGAAGGAGACCGAGCACAGAGACGAUGAAACGGAGGAGUUUCUGAAGCAUAUAAAGGAGGAUCGAUGUGUCUCCAGGUCAGUGGAUCCUCCUCUGGUCAGCAUCCAGACGCUGGACUUUGCCAGCAGGAUGUCGGAGGAUAUCGUGGCUCAGGCUCUGCAGCUCUGCUGGCAGGUGGAGCAUCAACACCAAGAGCUGCCUUUUAUCGACAGCGACUCUGAUUAUAUCAUCUGAAACAACAGAGUUUUCCCAUGGAGUCGGACUGAACUUGCUGAAAAUGUGGCAGGAAUCUGUGUCAUUUCACAACUUUACCACACAUGUGAGUCACUGUUUGUGUGACUGUUGUGACAUUUUGCAUUAAAAACUGGAAUCAGCUUUUUUCCCAACAAAAUACAGGUAAUUUAUCACUGACAACUGGACACCUUCUUCCAGUUUUUGUUGUACUUUGCAGCUGAGCAGUAUGCAGAUAAUCGUUUCUUCUAUUUUUAUCCAGCAUUUGCAACGAAUAUAAGAUUGUUAACUGUUAACUUUUCUGCUCCAAACUGUUCAGUACAUUUCAAAAAUAUAAUUGUAAAUUCUGUUGUCAGAUGAGUUUAACUAAUCUUUGCAAUAUUGAUUAGUUUUAUUAGCCCUAAACCCAAAUACCACUGGUAUACAUAAUGUUAUAUUAAUAAUAAUGUCAUUCCUAUAAUUAGUAAAUGGGUAUAUCUUGGUUUAUUUUGGUUAUUUUGUAGUACAUUUCCUAAAUGUUUGCACUAUCUUUCCUGCAGGAACAAUGCAAAUUCCCCCACUGUGGGAAUAAUCAGUCUGUCAGUCUGGCAUCAAAUCAGAUGAUCUGCCCUGCUGGAGGCGGAGCUAAACCACACCUGUUACCUGAACUGACUUUGCGUCUCUGCCCUGAGGUGUAUGCUGCAGCGUCACGCUCAGGGCAGAGGGCAAAAUAAGAGGUUCUGGCUUCUAUGUUUACUCCCUGGGAACCAAGCAUGAAAGGUUCCACCCAGAACUCUAUGUGCUCUUAGAUGCUUCCUCAUAAUAUGAACCAAAACACUACACCUGUCUUGUUUCUCCUCUAAGUCAACAUGAAUUAUUCUUUAAAUAUGUCAGACAUGUAAGACCCGUCUUAGUGUUUUUAAAAUUUAGCAUUUUAUUCAUGUGAAGUCAUUAUCUUGAAUAAUUAAGUUAUACUUUUAUGAAAUUUGUGUAUUUUUUAUGUGGUAAUUAAUGGGCAAAAAAAGAGAAAAAAAAAUCAUUAAAAGUCACUUUGGCUCUGACAUGAAUUGAAAGAUUGUGUCACAGUAAAUUGUAAAGCUGCUAAAAACAUAGAACACUGCAUUCAGUGUGGAAAUAAAAAAAGAGAGAAACAUUUCA
Amphiprion ocellaris (clown anemonefish) is the source of this 2325-nucleotide long non-coding RNA. RefSeq lists it as uncharacterized. The record is from RefSeq and is a predicted model, not a curated record. The transcript is spliced from 2 exons. Lineage: Eukaryota; Metazoa; Chordata; Actinopteri; Pomacentridae.